GCCGGAGUGGUGAAACUGGUAGACGCACCGGACUCAAAAUCCGGCGGAGGUAACUCCGUGACGGUUCGACUCCGUCCUCCGGCACCA
This 87-nucleotide transfer RNA is filed under the name Desulfolithobacter dissulfuricans. RNAcentral's name for it is "Desulfobulbaceae bacterium GF1 tRNA-Leu". It matches the Rfam family "tRNA". From Rfam's summary of the family: Transfer RNA (tRNA) molecules are approximately 80 nucleotides in length. Their secondary structure includes four short double-helical elements and three loops (D, anti-codon, and T loops). Lineage: Bacteria; Pseudomonadati; Thermodesulfobacteriota; Desulfobulbia; Desulfobulbales; Desulfobulbaceae. The record is from RNAcentral.